CUCUAAACUGAGAGUCUUGUUUCAGUCGGUCUCCGUCCACUUGAUUAGAGGAAGACCCAUCAGUACACUUGUCUCUCCGUGUGCUUCAUACCGCAUGUGUCUGUUCUAAACGCUGCACCAUAAAGGAAAUAGGGUGCUGUUUAGGACGUGGGCUGAAACUACUUCCAUCCCCAAGUCUUCUGGAUCAGGGAUAGACGCCAUGAUAGUAGUCCAUGGGUAACACAGUUCACCAGUCCGCCGGGAGAAUAUCUAGAAGUUCAGAAGCAAGCGUUUCUUAUUGAACGAGUUCGGGUAAUCGCUCUCUGUUUCAGUUUGUUUUCUUUCCGUUUGGUGUGUCCCGAAUGAACACACCCAGGCCUCUCUGUCUGUCUGUGCAGUCCUAGACUGUUGGGGGGGGUUGGUUUAGUUGUGGAAUCCGUUGUGUUGGACGGUGAGGAACUGUAGACGGAGACUCUGAAUGCUGCUCACCAUCCUCCUCUGGUGGCCAAUCAGAGACACACCGAUACGCCUGAUGUCCCUGAGGACAAGAGAUACAGACACUAUAUGAGUCAGGUUAACUGUUUAGAGGAGAUACAGACACUAUAUGAGUCAGGUUAACUGUUUAGAGGAGAUACAGUCACUAUAUGAGUUAGGUUAACUGUUUAGAGGAGAUACAGACACUAUAUGAGUCAGGUUAACUGUUUAGAGGAGAUACAGACACUAUAUGAGUCAGGUUAACUGUUGGUGAGGGUCUGGGCAGGGUGAUGUUGGUGAGGGGCUGGGCAGCGUGAUGUUGGUGAGGGGCUGGGCAGGGUGAUUUUGGUGAGGG
This 808-nucleotide long non-coding RNA is filed under the name Salmo salar (Atlantic salmon). RNAcentral describes it as "lncRNA (ENSSSAG00000090156.1)". The record is from RNAcentral. Lineage: Eukaryota; Metazoa; Chordata; Actinopteri; Salmoniformes; Salmonidae.